GCGGCGCGGCGCGCUUGAGGCGGCGGCAGCAGCAGCGGCUGCGCGACCCCCGCCGCCUCCCGCUCGCCCGCCGCCGCCGGAGGAGGAGGAGGAGGAGGUGGGGGGGAUAUGCCGACGCAGCGGGACAGCAGCGGCAACAGCACCAUGUCGGCUCCGGGCGGCGGAGGGGGCGGCCUCGGCGGGGACAGCGCCCACCAGGUCCGGGUGAAAGCCUACUACAAGGGGGACAUCAUGAUAACAUAUUUUGAACCUUCCAUCUCAUUUGAGGGACUGUGCAGUGAAGUUCGAGACAUGUGCUCCUUUGACAACGAACAGCUUUUCACCAUGAAAUGGAUUGAUGAAGAAGGAGAUCCAUGUACAGUUUCUUCUCAGCUGGAGUUAGAAGAGGCCUUUCGGUUGUAUGAACUAAACAAGGAUUCAGAGCUUCUAAUUCAUGUAUUUCCUUGUGUACCAGAACGGCCUGGCAUGCCUUGUCCAGGAGAAGAUAAAUCCAUUUAUCGCCGAGGCGCCCGCCGGUGGCGAAAGCUCUAUUGUGCAAAUGGUCACACUUUCCAAGCCAAACGAUUUAACAGGAGAGCUCAUUGUGCCAUUUGCACUGACCGAAUAUGGGGCCUGGGUCGCCAGGGAUAUAAAUGCAUCAAUUGCAAACUCCUUGUUCACAAGAAGUGUCACAAACUUGUCAGUAUUGAAUGUGGCCGUCACACACUACAACCAGAACCAAUAAUGCCUAUGGAUCCAUCAUCAGUGCAUCCAGAUAAUGUAGAAUCAGUGAUUCCAUACAAUCCCUCAAGUCAUGAGAGCUUGGACCAUGUUGGUGAAGAAAAAGAGGCAAUGAGCAUUAGAGAAAGUGGCAAAGCUUCCUCCAGUCUGGGUCUUCAGGAUUUUGAUUUGCUCCGAGUUAUAGGAAGAGGUAGUUACGCUAAAGUACUACUUGUUCGACUGAAGAAAACUGAACGCAUUUACGCAAUGAAAGUGGUGAAGAAGGAGCUCGUCAAUGAUGAUGAGGAUAUUGAUUGGGUUCAGACAGAGAAACACGUCUUUGAACAGGCUUCAAAUCAUCCCUUUCUUGUCGGACUACACUCUUGCUUCCAGACAGAAAGCAGGUUAUUCUUUGUUAUAGAGUACGUAAAUGGAGGCGAUCUAAUGUUUCAUAUGCAGAGACAGAGAAAGCUGCCAGAGGAGCAUGCCAGGUUUUAUUCUGCUGAAAUCAGUCUAGCAUUGAACUAUUUACAUGAACGAGGGAUAAUCUACAGAGAUUUAAAACUGGAUAAUGUGCUACUAGAUUCUGAAGGGCAUAUUAAACUCACAGAUUAUGGCAUGUGCAAGGAGGGUCUGAGGCCUGGUGACACAACCAGCACGUUUUGUGGGACUCCAAACUAUAUUGCACCUGAAAUUCUCCGGGGAGAGGAUUAUGGCUUCAGUGUAGACUGGUGGGCACUUGGUGUACUUAUGUUUGAAAUGAUGGCGGGCCGGUCACCAUUUGAUAUUGUUGGGAGUUCCGACAAUCCUGAUCAGAACACAGAAGAUUAUCUUUUCCAAGUAAUUUUGGAAAAACAGAUCCGAAUUCCCCGAUCCCUUUCUGUUAAAGCAGCAGGUGUUCUAAAGAGUUUCCUUAAUAAGGAUCCAAAGGAACGUUUAGGCUGCCAUCCUCAAACAGGAUUUGCAGAUAUCCAGGGACAUCCGUUCUUUCGCAAUGUUGAUUGGGAUCUGAUGGAGCAAAAGCAAGUGGUGCCUCCAUUUAAACCAAAUAUAUCUGGAGAAUUUGGUCUGGAUAACUUUGACUCCCAAUUCACCAAUGAACCUGUGCAGCUCACUCCAGAUGAUGAUGAUAUUGUGAAGAAGAUUGACCAGUCAGAAUUUGAAGGCUUUGAAUAUAUAAAUCCUCUUUUGAUGUCAGCUGAGGAAUGUGUUUGAAUUCUCCAUUUCUGGACUGUGCCAAUUGUUACUCAGUUUGUUUCUGCAUGGAAGAUAGCACUGGGAUAGACCGUAACAACCUAAGAAAUACCUCCCUCAGCCUGUGUUCCCCAAGCAUGUCUUAGAAUGGAGGCCCCUCUCUGACGUGCUUUGCCAGCCUUCUGUUCAUCGUGCCCUAUGGAGGAGAAGCAUCCUUGUAGGUUCUGUCUUUUGUUCUGACACCAGUGAUGAAACAAAAGUAAGUAGUGAGGGUUCAGUCAGCUGCACAGAUACAGAAAGCUUAAACUAAAAUAUAAAAUGCAAUUCUAGCUUGCUUGACCAAGGACUUCUUUCAGCUGGAACUUCUAAGACAUUAUCUCAGGGGCCGAAGCUGGGGACUUGGAGUUCAGAGCAACACUCUUAUCUGCUGUGCUUACUUCUGCAUGAUUUCUUUCUUUGUUUCUUCAACUCCUCCCCUGCAUUCUCUUAGAUUUCUGACACGGAGGGCAAGGGCACUUACCUCAUACCCUGCUACAGAUGCAGUAUUUCAAUAUAGCUGUAUUUCAGUGUCUGCGUAUUGAUAUUUUAAAAGAGAUUUCCUCUUGAGAUCUGGCUUGUUAUUAAAAGUAUGUAUCGGCAGUCCUAGGCAAAUGCUACAGAUGGUUGCAUAUCUUAAAUGCUUAACCUCCCCCCACGCAUGCUUCUUGUUUCUGUUCAGUUUGGUGGCCAACUGCUCUCGGCUCAGUCUGAGCAAUUGUUUAUGUUAAGACACUCUAUAAAAGAAAUUAAUAGCGUGUAUAAUCUAUAUAUAUACUUGAUACCUUAACUGCUAAGCAUGCAUCCUCGCUUCGUGACGGACAGCAUAAGCAGUUUAAGCAAGAAAGGCAUCUGAAAUCUGUAGGCCUACAGAUUAAUGAUAUUUCCCUGGGAAGAGGGAGGUGGGGAUUGGUGCCCCUUUCAGAAAAAGGGGAUUUUAUCCUAUCUUGCAUUUUCUUGAGAAGAGUUCCAUUAGGGUUUAUUUUAAGACUUUUUUUUUUCCUGCUUAUGAUAAAGGGAUCUAAACUGCAUGCUUGAAAUGUGUGAUCUUACCAUUUAAUCACCAACAAUUAAAGGCAGGGAAGCAUCCACCUCCUGGAUCUGUUUGGCUUUUGCAGAAGGUGGGCUUUUUCCAGGCGUAAACAGAACCAGAAAUCUGUUGGCAUCCGCAUUCGACUUCUAAGCUUGAACAAAGCGUCUGGGCUUAUACCCCUCUUGCGUUGGGUGGUGAAGCAUCUAGCUGAACAGGUGAAUUUUGACUGUGAUUUCAGAUGGAAAAACUAAGUCAUAGCUCAGGUUCUUCAUUAGCUGUCGUGUUUUGUACAGAACUGUUUCCAAAGCAACUUGUCCUGUAAGAUGUGGUGCAGGCUAAAAUCUGUCAGCUUUUUGUGCUUUACCCGCUUACAGGUCUUGUAGUGUCUCUCAUACAGUAUCUUGUCUGUGUUACUUAAUCUGUCAUAGCAUGUUUCACAAGAGUGGUCUUAAGUAUUACAACUUAGCAUUAAAAAUCGCCGCUGAAGUGAUUUUCUUAAAAAUGCGCAAGCUAAUAUCUUCAGAGAAGAAAUGCACAAUUUUUGAUCUCUGUUCAGUGUUAACUGAACAGCAUCUUCAGAGCAUCUUCAGAGACCGUGUGUAUGGAAACUUUUUUUUUUUUUUAAAAUAUGCUUCUUUCUGUAGAAACCCCUCUUUGUUCAUAAAUAUGCAACUUGAAUCUUACUCAUAAAACUGUGACAAAGUUCUUUACACACUUAGCAGUUUGGUGAACAACUUUGUAUCUAUGUUAACCAGCUCAGCUGAAAGAUCAUUUUGUUUUAAUAUGGUAUUUGGCACUUCACUUUAUAAGCAGUAGUUUAAAGUAUUUAUUUUUAUUUGCACUUAGAAAUGCAGAUUAUUUUAUCUCACUUGCCCCUCUUCCUAGUGUGCGAGUGGAAGAGGUAUCGACCCCAGCGACUGUCAAAGGUGGCCUGCAAGAAUUCAAAGGGGCAUGUGUGUGGGGAGGAUGGGACUUACUCUUGUCUUAAACACCCAUUUUUUUGUUUCAUGGUAUUUUUGUAGCUCUGUGUUUUUGAGUGUGUCCUGCCUGGUAUUAUUUUAGAAAUAUAUGAAAUAAAAAUUAUAUACUUUCUAGGGAGCUGCUUAGUUUCCCAUAUAUUAUUAUAUAUCCCUCACUUUUAACUGAAAAUGAAACUUCUGUAGUCACUGUUUAAUUGUAAAGUAAAAUUUAAUUUUUUUUUAUAAUAAUAACUUUUUUUCCUUAGAGCUGACUUAGAAGAGUAAAGACAAAAAUUCUGUAAAGGCUGCCUCAGUGUUAAACCUAAGGUGUUGAAACUAAGCAGUGAAGGUGCUAUUUGUGAACUGCAUUUUAAGACAACCUUAAAUGUUAAUUUUGUAAGCUUUCAAAGAGCUUCAGCACUUCUCGAAAAUUCAGAGGCGUUAAUAAUAAAGGAAAGAUUCCUUCUAUGCUCUGUUAGUGUAAUUUAUUACAUCUUGCAAAGGUCUGUAACUCAGGUUUUAGUUGCACAGUGUCUUUGGAACUGCUUUUCACAGUCUACAGUAGAAGUUGUAGGCAGAGUUAACAUCUUUUUUUAGACAAUCCUCUACCUACAACCUUUGCCUGAUUACUGUAGCUCUAUAGCAACACUCAUUACAGCACAAUAGUUACUAGAAUUUGCAACCUGAAAGGCAAAAUGUGAGCAGAACUUGAAAAAACCCAAAUUAAACAAUGCCACCGUAUUCCUAAGCUUCUGUGACAUCACUAGGUCUAAUAAAAGAUGUAAUAUCUGCCUAUGUAUGUUGCUUUCCUUACAUCCAUAAAUCAGUCCAGCUCUGGUGUUAUAAAUCUUGCAUUUUCUUCAGUAAACUUAAAAUGGAAAUAUGACAUAGUGGGUUUCACUAAUUGGUAUUUGAAGAGAUUUUUUUUGUUUGUUUUGUUUUUCUUAAAUCAGAUCCUAAAUUCCUAGAGGGUGGAGAAGACAGGAAUGUUCAGAAUGUCUGGACAAUUGUGUCACAGGUCUGUGUCUUUCAGGAUCAGCUCCAAAAGCUGGUACAUUCAGAAAUGUUUUACUCUGCUAUAUUGUUGUGGCUUUUAAGCAAACCUUGUAACUGCUUAAUAAAUACGUACAGAGUGUUA
RNA transcript from Aquila chrysaetos chrysaetos, 5059 nucleotides. It is a transcript of the gene named protein kinase C iota, with no coding region annotated. Lineage: Eukaryota; Metazoa; Chordata; Aves; Accipitriformes; Accipitridae. The record is from RefSeq and is a predicted model, not a curated record. The transcript has 19 exons.